GGAGAAGUACUCAAGUGGCUGAAGAGGUGCCCCUGCUAAGGGUAUAGAUCGUGUAAACGAUGCGAGAGUUCGAAUCCCUCCUUCUCCG
Molecule: transfer RNA, 88 nt
Filed under: Lactiplantibacillus plantarum
Lineage: Bacteria; Bacillati; Bacillota; Bacilli; Lactobacillales; Lactobacillaceae
Description: Lactobacillus plantarum tRNA-Ser
Rfam family: tRNA
About the family: Transfer RNA (tRNA) molecules are approximately 80 nucleotides in length. Their secondary structure includes four short double-helical elements and three loops (D, anti-codon, and T loops).
Source: RNAcentral